AGAGGUCCCAAGCGUUGUUCGGAUUCAUUGGGCGUAAAGGGUGCGUAGGUGGCAUGGUUAGUCGGGUGUGAAAUCCCGGGGCUCAACCCCGGAACUGCACUCGAUACUGCCGUGCUGGAGUACUGGAGAGGAGACUGGAAUUUACGGUGUAGCAGUGAAAUGCGUAGAUAUCGUAAGGAAGACCGGUGGCGAAAGCUAGUCUCUGGACAGUCACUGACACUGAGGCACGAAGGCUAGGGGAGCAAACGGGAUUAGAUACCCCGGUAGUCCUAGCAGUAAACGGUGCGCGUUUGGUGUGGGAGGAUUCGACCCCCUCCGUGCCGGAGCUAACGCGUUAAACGCGCCGCCUGGGGAAUACGAUCGCAAGAUUA
RNAcentral lists this ribosomal RNA (371 nucleotides) under uncultured bacterium. Its description in RNAcentral is "bacterial SSU rRNA". It matches the Rfam family "Bacterial small subunit ribosomal RNA", at positions 527 to 896 of the family's 1533-position model. The record is from RNAcentral.